Molecule: ribosomal RNA, 253 nt
Filed under: uncultured bacterium
Lineage: Bacteria
Description: partial 16S ribosomal RNA
Rfam family: Bacterial small subunit ribosomal RNA
Source: RNAcentral
UACGGGGGGAGCAAGCGUUGUUCGGAUUUACUGGGCGUAAAGGGCGCGUAGGCGGUCUUUUAAGUUCCGUGUGAAAUCCCUCGGCUCAACUGGGGAACGGCACGGGAAACUGGGAGGCUUGAGUUCGGGAGAGGGAAGCGGAAUUCCGGGUGUAGCGGUGAAAUGCGUAGAUAUCCGGAGGAACACCGGUGGCGAAGGCGGCUUCCUGGACCGACACUGACGCUGAGGCGCGAAAGCUAGGGGAGCAAACGGG